GAUUGAAGGAACAUUUCCAUCUAUCUGUUCCAAAUGAGACAUGACCAAAGUCCACCAUGCAGUUACAAAAUACAUUAUGAAUCUGAUAUUAAACAUGAAGAUGAAGUCACUACGCUGAUCCUGUGCAGCUAACAAGUUCUAACAAUCCAUAUCUCCACAUCACACGAUGUGGAGCAUCACACUUAGUUCUUGUCAGUUUCUUUAUCUAGUCUCUUCCUCUUAGCAGAAGUAUUGCAAUCAAGACUAUUUUCGGGUGCAGCACAAUGCCGAGUUGCUUCAGUGACUCGCGUCAGACUUGAUAACCAUAAUGCGUCUUUAAAUAAAUCUUUCAGCUUCUCCAACACUUCAGGAACCACAUGAUUCCCACUCUCAUAUACUUCAAUUUUUCCAA
This 391-nucleotide unclassified non-coding RNA is filed under the name Hevea brasiliensis (rubber tree). Lineage: Eukaryota; Viridiplantae; Streptophyta; Magnoliopsida; Malpighiales; Euphorbiaceae. The record is from RNAcentral.